AACGAACGCUGGCGGCAUGCCUAACACAUGCAAGUCGAACGAACCCUUCGGGGUUAGUGGCGCACGGGUGCGUAACGCGUGGGAAUCUGCCCUUUGCUUCGGAAUAACUCAGGGAAACUUGUGCUAAUACCGGAUGAUGUCUUCGGACCAAAGAUUUAUCGGCAAGGGAUGAGCCCGCGUAGGAUUAGGUAGUUGGUGGGAUAAAGGCCUACCAAGCCGACGAUCCUUAGCUGGUCUGAGAGGAUGAUCAGCCACACUGGGACUGAGACACGGCCCAGACUCCUACGGGAGGCAGCAGUGGGGAAUAUUGGACAAUGGGCGCAAGCCUGAUCCAGCAAUGCCGCGUGAGUGAUGAAGGCCCUCGGGUCGUAAAGCUCUUUUACCAGGGAUGAUAAUGACAGUACCUGGAGAAUAAGCUCCGGCUAACUCCGUG
RNAcentral lists this ribosomal RNA (433 nucleotides) under uncultured bacterium. RNAcentral describes it as "partial 16S ribosomal RNA". It matches the Rfam family "Bacterial small subunit ribosomal RNA", at positions 29 to 507 of the family's 1533-position model. The record is from RNAcentral.